GUCCACGCCGUAAACGAUGAGUGCUUGGUGUAGCGGGUAUCGACCCCUGCUGUGCCGAAGUCAACACAUUAAGCACUCCGCCUGGGGAGUACGGUCGCAAGACUGAAACUCAAAGGAAUUGACGGGGGCCCGCACAAGCGGUGGAGCAUGUGGUUUAAUUCGAAGCAACGCGCAGAACCUUACCUGGGUUUGAACUGUACAGGCAAGUCUCAGAGAUGAGAGCCCCUCUUCGGAGGACUGUAUAGAGGUGCUGCAUGGCUGUCGU
RNAcentral lists this ribosomal RNA (265 nucleotides) under uncultured bacterium. RNAcentral describes it as "partial 16S ribosomal RNA". It matches the Rfam family "Bacterial small subunit ribosomal RNA", at positions 793 to 1055 of the family's 1533-position model. The record is from RNAcentral.